RNAcentral lists this ribosomal RNA (472 nucleotides) under uncultured bacterium. RNAcentral describes it as "partial 16S ribosomal RNA". It matches the Rfam family "Bacterial small subunit ribosomal RNA", at positions 30 to 507 of the family's 1533-position model. The record is from RNAcentral.
AGUGAACGCUGGCGGUAGGCCUAACACAUGCAAGUCGAACGGCAGCACAGUAAGAGCUUGCUCUUACGGGUGGCGAGUGGCGGACGGGUGAGGAAUACAUCGGAAUCUACUUUUUCGUGGGGGAUAACGUAGGGAAACUUACGCUAAUACCGCAUACGACCUACGGGUGAAAGCAGGGGAUCUUCGGACCUUGCGCGAUUGAAUGAGCCGAUGUCGGAUUAGCUAGUUGGCGGGGUAGAGGCCCACCAAGGCGACGAUGGGUAGCUGGUCUGAGAGGAUGACGGGCCACGGUGGGACGGAGAGACGGCCCAGACUGCUACGGGAGGCAGCAGUGGGGAAUAUUGCACAAUGGGCGGAAGCAUGAUGCAGCAACGCCGCGUGCGGGAUGACGGCUUUCGGGUUGUAAACCGCUUUCGCCUGUGACGAAGCGUGAGUAACGGUAAUGGGUAAAGAAGCACCGGCUAACUACGUG